ACCCGGGUGGCUCAGUUGGUUGAGUGUCCGACUUUGGCUCAGGUCAUGCUCUCACGGUUUGUGGGUUCAAGCCCCACACUGGGCU
RNAcentral lists this transfer RNA (85 nucleotides) under Felis catus (domestic cat). It matches the Rfam family "tRNA". From Rfam's summary of the family: Transfer RNA (tRNA) molecules are approximately 80 nucleotides in length. Their secondary structure includes four short double-helical elements and three loops (D, anti-codon, and T loops). Further hydrogen bonds mediate the characteristic L-shaped molecular structure. tRNAs have two regions of fundamental functional importance: the anti-codon, which is responsible for specific mRNA codon recognition, and the 3' end, to which the tRNAs corresponding amino acid is attached (by aminoacyl-tRNA synthetases). tRNAs cope with the degeneracy of the genetic code in two manners: having more than one tRNA (with a specific anti-codon) for a particular amino acid; and 'wobble' base-pairing, i.e. permitting non-standard base-pairing at the 3rd anti-codon position. Lineage: Eukaryota; Metazoa; Chordata; Mammalia; Carnivora; Felidae. The record is from Rfam by way of RNAcentral.